RNAcentral lists this ribosomal RNA (517 nucleotides) under uncultured bacterium. RNAcentral's name for it is "bacterial SSU rRNA". It matches the Rfam family "Bacterial small subunit ribosomal RNA", at positions 9 to 520 of the family's 1533-position model. The record is from RNAcentral.
GAGUUUGAUCAUGGCUCAGAUUGAACGCUGGCGGCAGGCCUAACACAUGCAAGUCGGGCGGUAGAGAGAAGCUUGCUUCUCUUGAGAGCGGCGGACGGGUGAGUAAUGCCUAGGAAUCUGCCUGGUAGUGGGGGAUAACGCUCGGAAACGGACGCUAAUACCGCAUACGUCCUACGGGAGAAAGCAGGGGACCUUCGGGCCUUGCGCUAUCAGAUGAGCCUAGGUCGGAUUAGCUAGUUGGUGAGGUAAUGGCUCACCAAGGCGACGAUCCGUAACUGGUCUGAGAGGAUGAUCAGUCACACUGGAACUGAGACACGGUCCAGACUCCUACGGGAGGCAGCAGUGGGGAAUAUUGGACAAUGGGCGAAAGCCUGAUCCGGCCAUGCCGCGUGUGUGAAGAAGGUCUUCGGAUUGUAAAGCACUUUAAGUUGGGAGGAAGGGCAGUAAAUUAAUACUUUGCUGUUUUGACGUUACCGACAGAAUAAGCACCGGCUAACUCUGUGCCAGCCGCCGACCG